UUUGGUGACGAUAGCGGAAGGGAACCCGUACCCAUCCCGAACACGGCCGUUAAGCCUUCCAGCGCCGAUGGUACUUCGGACCGAAGGGUCGAGUAGGACGUUGCCAAGC
RNAcentral lists this ribosomal RNA (109 nucleotides) under Paenibacillus larvae. The record is from RNAcentral. Lineage: Bacteria; Bacillati; Bacillota; Bacilli; Caryophanales; Paenibacillaceae.